RNAcentral lists this ribosomal RNA (270 nucleotides) under uncultured bacterium. Its description in RNAcentral is "partial 16S ribosomal RNA". It matches the Rfam family "Bacterial small subunit ribosomal RNA", at positions 28 to 289 of the family's 1533-position model. The record is from RNAcentral.
GAUUAACGCUGGCGGCGUGCAUGAAACAUGCAAGUCGAGCGCGGUGUGAUGAGGGGUAACCCAAUUCACAUCUAGCGGCGAACGGGUGAGUAACACGUGAGCAACCUACCUUCGAGUUGGGGAUAGCCCUGCGAAAGCAGGAUUAAUACCCGAUGUGGUCACAACAGGACAUCCUGAUGUGAGUAAAGGCGUAAGCCGCUCGAUGACGGGCUCGCGGCCUAUUAGCUUGUUGGUGGGGUAACGGCCUACCAAGGCGAUGAUGGGUAGCUG